GCAGGAGAGGUUCGAAAUUCCAUCCCUCUAUAAAAAACUAAGGAGAU
Molecule: regulatory RNA element, 47 nt
Rfam family: PreQ1 (pre queuosine) riboswitch aptamer
About the family: This family is a bacterial riboswitch that binds to the metabolite preQ1, an intermediate in the biosynthesis of the modified nucleoside queuosine from GTP. One example of this riboswitch is located in the leader of the Bacillus subtilis ykvJKLM (queCDEF) operon which encodes four genes necessary for queuosine production.
Source: Rfam